This is an unclassified non-coding RNA of 300 nucleotides. The stretch from base 1 to 46 matches the Rfam family "Eukaryotic small subunit ribosomal RNA", at positions 1786 to 1831 of the family's 1831-position model.
AAGUCGUAACAAGGUUUCCGUAGGUGAACCUGCGGAAGGAUCAUUAAAAAACGAUCACCGGUGUACCCAAGCGACGUCGAUUACUCGACCUUGUGGGGCUGUCCUAAACUCACAGCAUUACCAGUCGCGCGGGAUACUGAUGCCCUAGCCCUCGAGCUAGGGGCCGAGUGAAUCCCACCCGUGUCUACAUACUUUUGUUGCUUUGGCGGGCCGUGGCCUCCACUGUGGGCUCUGCCUGCAUGUGCCCGCCAGAGGAUCAAACUCUGAAUUUUAGUGAUGUCUGAGUACUAUAUAAUAGUU